AGAAUCAACGCUGGCGGCGUGCCUAACACAUGCAAGUCGCACGAGAAAGGGGAGCAAUCCUUGAGUAAAGUGGCGCACGGGUGAGUAACACGUGAAUGAUCUACCUCCGAGUGGGGAAUAACUGAGAGAAAUCUUAGCUAAUACCGCAUAACACUUACGAGUCAAAGCAGCAAUGCGCUUGGAGAGGAGUUCGCGGCCGAUUAGCUAGUUGGCGGGGUAAUGGCCCACCAAGGCGAUGAUCGGUA
This 245-nucleotide ribosomal RNA is filed under the name uncultured bacterium. RNAcentral describes it as "partial small subunit ribosomal RNA". It matches the Rfam family "Bacterial small subunit ribosomal RNA", at positions 26 to 285 of the family's 1533-position model. The record is from RNAcentral.